UCCCUGGUAGCUCAGAUGGUAAAGAAUCUGCCUGCAAUGCGGGAGACUCAGGUUUGAUACCUGGGUCAGGGAA
This is a non-coding RNA of Ovis aries (sheep), 73 nucleotides long. The record is from Rfam. Lineage: Eukaryota; Metazoa; Chordata; Mammalia; Artiodactyla; Bovidae.